AGCAGCCGCGGUAAUUCCAGCUCCAAUAGCGUAUAUUAAAGUUGUUGCAGUUAAAAAGCUCGUAGUUGAAUUUCGGGAUCAAUAUGUUGGUCGUGCCUUGGUACGUACUGGCAUUAUUGGUUUCUACCUUCUGAAGAACCUCGAUGUCAUUAAUUUGGUGUCUUGGGGAAUCAGGACUGUUACUUUGAAAAAAUUAGAGUGUUUAAAGCAGGCUCGCGCUUGAAUACAUUAGCAUGGAAUAAUGAAAUAGGACGUUUGAUUCUAUUUUGUUGGUUUCUAGGAUUGACGUAAUGAUUAAUAGGGAUAGUUGGGGGCAUUAGUAUUCAAUUGUCAGAGGUGAAAUUCUUGGAUUUAUUGAAGACUAACUACUGCGAAAGCAUUUGCCAAGGAUGUUUUCAUUAAUCAAGAACGAAAGUUAGGGGAUCGAAGACGAUCAGAUACCGUCGUAGUCUUAACCAUAAACUAUGCCGACCAGGGAUUGGCGGAUGUUGCUCAUUGGACUCCGCCAGCUACC
Molecule: ribosomal RNA, 514 nt
Filed under: uncultured Glomus
Lineage: Eukaryota; Fungi; Glomeromycota; Glomeromycetes; Glomerales; Glomeraceae
Description: SSU rRNA
Rfam family: Eukaryotic small subunit ribosomal RNA
Source: RNAcentral